This 382-nucleotide long non-coding RNA is filed under the name Marmota monax (woodchuck). The record is from RNAcentral. Lineage: Eukaryota; Metazoa; Chordata; Mammalia; Rodentia; Sciuridae.
CCUGUCCCCAUAGACACAGGCAGCAGGGUGGCCUCCCACCUACUAACCUAGGCACCGGCCCAGCCCUCCUGAGGCCUGAAACAUCAAACCAGCCGUAGACUCUGAGUCAGCACACCAAGAAUCUCCACACAGGCUAUGGUAGACUGGAAGAGAUGCCUGCUUCUUAAACGUGUAGACACCAACACAAGGCCACAGAAUCACGAGUAACCUGGAAAACACGAAUCCACCAAGGGAGAACUAGCAAUUGACCCUAAAGACAUGGAGAUCUACGUGUGCCUGACAAAGAACUCCAAGAGUGGCCUCAAGAAGUUCAGUGAGCUAAAACAGAUCAUACACAAACAAUGCAUGAGCAAAAUUAGAAGUUCAACAAAGAGUUAGAAAC